GCUAGCGCUCGUGUGCGACGAGUCUCAUCCGGUAGAGCGAAUGAUUAGAGGUAUUGGGGUCGAAACGGCCUCAACCUAUUCUCAAACUCCAAACGGAUGAGAACCCCGGCUUGCUUAAAAGUGAAGCCGCGGGGAGUCAAUCACGGAUCAGAGCGUUAAGUGGGCCAUUUUUGGUAAGCAGAACUGGCGCUGUGG
RNAcentral lists this ribosomal RNA (195 nucleotides) under Ptilocnemus femoralis. RNAcentral describes it as "partial 28S ribosomal RNA". It matches the Rfam family "Eukaryotic large subunit ribosomal RNA", at positions 981 to 1161 of the family's 3401-position model. The record is from RNAcentral. Lineage: Eukaryota; Metazoa; Arthropoda; Insecta; Hemiptera; Reduviidae.